Molecule: transfer RNA, 77 nt
Filed under: Pseudonocardiaceae bacterium YIM PH 21723
Lineage: Bacteria; Bacillati; Actinomycetota; Actinomycetes; Pseudonocardiales; Pseudonocardiaceae
Description: tRNA-Ile
Rfam family: tRNA
About the family: Transfer RNA (tRNA) molecules are approximately 80 nucleotides in length. Their secondary structure includes four short double-helical elements and three loops (D, anti-codon, and T loops). Further hydrogen bonds mediate the characteristic L-shaped molecular structure. tRNAs have two regions of fundamental functional importance: the anti-codon, which is responsible for specific mRNA codon recognition, and the 3' end, to which the tRNAs corresponding amino acid is attached (by aminoacyl-tRNA synthetases). tRNAs cope with the degeneracy of the genetic code in two manners: having more than one tRNA (with a specific anti-codon) for a particular amino acid; and 'wobble' base-pairing, i.e. permitting non-standard base-pairing at the 3rd anti-codon position.
Source: RNAcentral
GGGCCUAUAGCUCAGUUGGUUAGAGCGUUGCACUGAUAAUGCAAAGGUCGGUGGUUCAAAUCCACCUAGGCCCACGA